UAAUUAUUAUAAGGGAAAUUCAUAAGAAUAGCCUUGAAUCAUUCCCAAGCUUGGUGAAGAUUCUCUCUAUUCUUAUGCAUAAAACUCAGAAUAUCACUUCUCAAAUA
Capsicum annuum is the source of this 107-nucleotide non-coding RNA. NCBI's taxonomy places the organism in Eukaryota, Viridiplantae, Streptophyta, Magnoliopsida, Solanales, Solanaceae. The record is from Rfam.